AACGAACGCUGGCGGCAUGCCUAACACAUGCAAGUCGAACGAUUGCCUUCGGGUGAUAGUGGCGCACGGGUGCGUAACGCGUGGGAAUCUGCCCUUAGGUUCGGAAUAACAGCUGGAAACGGCUGCUAAUACCGGAUGAUAUCGCGAGAUCAAAGAUUUAUCGCCUGAGGAUGAGCCCGCGUUGGAUUAGGUAGUUGGUGGGGUAAAGGCCUACCAAGCCGACGAUCCAUAGCUGGGCUGAGAGGAUGAUCAGCCACACUGGGACUGAGACACGGCCCAGACUCCUACGGGAGGCAGCAGUGGGGAAUAUUGGACAAUGGGCGCAAGCCUGAUCCAGCAAUGCCGCGUGAGUGAUGAAGGCCCUAGGGUUGUAAAGCUCUUUUACCCGGGAAGAUAAUGACUGUACCGGGAGAAUAAGCCCCGGCUAACUCCGUG
RNAcentral lists this ribosomal RNA (435 nucleotides) under uncultured bacterium. RNAcentral's name for it is "partial 16S ribosomal RNA". It matches the Rfam family "Bacterial small subunit ribosomal RNA", at positions 29 to 507 of the family's 1533-position model. The record is from RNAcentral.